AGGCCAUAUCACAAUGAAACACCGAUACUCGUACGAUCACCGAAGUAAAGUAACGUUGAGCCUGGACAGUAUCUAGAUGGGUAACCGCUGUGGAAUACCAGGUGCUGUAAG
Molecule: non-coding RNA, 111 nt
Organism: Acanthosepion pharaonis
Lineage: Eukaryota; Metazoa; Mollusca; Cephalopoda; Sepiida; Sepiidae
Source: the annotation of a GenBank genome assembly